AGAGAAGAGAUGCCCAAGGAGGAGGCGGUUGGCUUUGUCUGGGUGCCCAAGCCCAGACCCAGAUAUCCAGGCCUCUGCUCCCUUCCCUGAAAGGGUGCUGUGCUUCAUAAAAAAUGAGAUUAGAAAACGAGAGAGGAAAAUAUUUUUAAUGGAAUCAGGGAAUGUGAAAAGCGGUACAUGCGAAGAGGAAAAGAUACUGCAGUCCUGGAGUUCGACCUCUGCAGAGGACAUCUGGAAUGCUCUGGUCCAACACGAAAAAGAAGAAAUAAGCGAUGAAGCCAGGCACCCAGUCAGUGGCAGAACCGACAUUAGAGCCCAGGCCUCUUCGUAAUCAGUCGUCUUCACCCCCUUUCCAAGGAGAGAGGUGCUUAGAGGCCUAGACCAGGCCCUACAGCUUUGGAGCCAGGGCACCAGAACCGCUACUACCCUCACCUUCUCUGUGCCAGGUUGAUUUCUUUCUUUUUCUUUUCUUUUCUUUUCUUUUUUUUCUUUCUUUCUUUUUUUUUUUUUUAGACAGAGUCUUGCUCUGUAGCUCAGGCUGGACAGUGCAGUGGCACGAUCUUGGCUCACUGCAACCUCUGCCUCCGGGGCUCAAGCGAUUUUCAUGCUUCAGCCGUCCGAGUAGCUGGGAUUACAGGCAUGCGCCACCACACCCGGCUAGUUUUUGUAUUUUUUUUUUUUUUUUAAGUAGAGACGGGGUUUCUCCAUGUUGGCCAGGCUGGUCUCGAACUCCUGACCUCAAGUGAUCCGCCCGCCUGGGCCUCCGAAAGUGCUGGGAUUACAGGCAUGAGCCACCUUGCCCGGCUUUGCCGGGUUGAUGUCUGUCUGUGGUUCUCAUGGGCAAAGAUGACUCCCCUAUUUACUUUGCAUAUUUAGGCUCUCAACUUGUCAACUGAUGUCAAGUUAGGGUAUUUUUGAUUGAGUGGAGAGUAAGGUAAAGGAAGAAUAGAAAUUCUUGGAACUUUCAUCAGUGCCCGGAAUCCCUAGGUGUCUGUGGUUUGACCGUCUUCUCAACACCUCCCCUUCCCCCCAUUCAGUUGGUGCCAAGUCCUUGGCAGCGUCACAUUCUUCUUUCUAUUCUUAUCACUCUAGUUUUGGGCUCCAUGACCUAGUUUUGGGCUCCAUGGAUUAUUCUGAGGGCCUCCUGGUCACACCCUGGGCGCCUGUCCUCCACACCCUAUCUUCACCAUUUCCCCCAUCCUAUAAGCAGCCUACAUCUAAUGUUGCUGGCCCCCUGCUUAAAAAGCCCUGAAAGGUUCCUCACCGCCUGUGGAAUGAAGUCCAAACUCGUCACUAUGACUUUCCCUGUGCCCUCCCCCACAGUUUCCUUUCUUGGUUUUUCCCCUUCAUCACUUCUUCACUCAUACUUCAGCCAGAUGGGACUAUGUGUUACACACUGAACAUUUUUCCUUGCCUUCACACCAGCUUCAAAGACAUAUCAUGAGCUGGGCAGAGUCUAGACAAAUGUACUUAGCUGAAGUCUUUCCACUGGGCACUUUCCCAUCUGAACUUCGCUGGUCCUCCAGCAGACCCUAGGAUCUUUUCAUCUCUAGUAGCCCAGUCCAUAUUCUGUUCUUGUUCUCAGCUGAUUAUCAAGUAUUCCUUAGUAAAGCAUUAACUGAUAAUUGAAGUAUUAACUGAUAAGGAUGUAACCUAAGAACUUGCCUCAUGGUUUUUGCCUUUCAAAAGGAUAUGCUUUGGGCCAGGCAUGGUGGCUCACGCUUGUAAUCCCAGCACUUUGGGAGGCCGAGGCAGGGGGAUCACCUGAGGUCAGGAGUUUUGAGACCAGCCUGGCCAACAUGGUGAAACCCCAUCUCAACUAGAAAUACAAAAAUUAGCCAGGUGUGCUGGCAGCCACCUGUAAACCCAGCUACUCAGGAAGCUGAGGCAGGAGAAUUGCUUGAACCCAGGAGGCGGAGGUUGCACUCCAGCCUGGGCGACAAGAAACUCUGUCUCAAAAAAAAAAAAAAAAGUUUGGAUGCGCACACUGGGUUGAAACUAUAAUAGUGAAAUGAUAGGUAGGGAGCUUGUUCUGUUGGCGCGAGGACCCACCUCAAAUAAAAAUAACAGAGGAGGAAGUUGAAGCCCAGGUUCUCACCUUGUUGAAGGUAAGGGACAUGACCAGAACAUAUGGUAAGUACCAGAACCAGGGUUCAAAAACAGGGCUUUCCAUCUCCAGUAACUUGAUGUUGCCCACUACUAAGAAAAGCACCUUGGUACUUCCUGUACCCAGACAAGAUCUAUUAAAAUAAUACUAUCUAUCUCAAAAGCUUGCUGUGGGAAUUAAAUGAGAGAGGACAAGCAAAGCAUUUCACAUCAUGCUUGGCACAUAGCACUCAAUAAUUGGUAGCUUUGCUUUAUAAGGCAUAACUUAAGAUUUUAUUGCAUGUGAAUGUUAACCGUAAAUAUUUAAAGAUUUUUAUUUAUUUUUAAUUUUUUAAUUUUUUUUUUUUUUGAGCCAGAGUCUGUCACCCAGGCUGGAGUGUUAUAGCGCGAUCUUGGCUCACUGUAACUGCCGCAUCCCAGGUUCAAGCGAUUCUCCUGCCUCAGCCUCCUGAGUAGCUGGGACUACAAGCACGUGCCACCAUGCCCAGCUAAUUUUUGUAUUUUUAGUAGAUACAGAGUUUUGCCAGGUUGACCAGGCCAGUCUCAAACUCCUGACAUCAGGUGAUCCACCCUCUUCGGCCCCCACAAAGUGCUGGGAUUAUAGGUGUGAGCCACUGUGCCCAGCCUAAAGAUUUUUAAAUAACAAGGUCUGGAGAAGUCACUUCAUAUCUCAGCUUUAAACUCUUCCACAUGUCAAGUGUUCUUGAAAAUUAAGUUAUAUGAAAAAAUCAUGGUGCCUUUGAAAGAGGGUAAUAGUGCCCAAGGUCAGCUCAUAAAAAGCUAUAGAGCAACUCCAACUUUAGUGUUUAAUGAGUAAAUUUAAGCUAGGCAUGUAAAUUACAAAUAAGAUUAGUUCUGGCAUUAAAAAGCAAAGUCCUUAGGAGGAGAAAUAUUAAAAUGAAGAAGAAAAACUUCUCCUGGUUGGGGAAAGGAUCCUACUCUUCAUUAUUUCCUGCACAAUGUUCCUGGUAGAGAUGAAUAAGUAAACAAAAAAACUUAAGACUUAAGUGGAUGGUAGAUUCUAAUGCUCCCUCCUGCUGAUCUAACAAAAUACCUUAGACUAGCUAAUUUGUAAACAACAGAAGUGUAUUGCUUACAGUUCUGGAGGCUGGGAAGUCCAAGAUCAGGUCAUCUGCAGAUUUGGUGUCUGGUGAGGGCUCACUGUGUUUUGUAUAUAGCAUCUUCCCUUUGCAUCCUCAUAUGGUGGAAGGGACAAACUCCCUCAAGCCUCUUUUAUAAGGGCCCUAAUACCAUUCAUCAUGGUGAAGUCCUCAUGACCUAGUCACCUCCCAAAUGGCCCGCCUCUUAAUACCACUACAAUGGGAAUUAAGAGUCAACAUGAAUUUUGGAAGGACCUAAGCAUUCAGACCAUAGCAAGCAUGAAAAAGUUCUUUAAUUAUAUCUAAGAGUUCUGCAAAGAACAACUUCAAGUAUAAAGUUUCAAAAGUAGACUGUGUAUUAAGUUUCAGAAAUAACACUUUUGAGGGAAAUAUUUAAUGCAAAGAGUAAGCUGUGCAGAGGAAUAGGCAUACAUUCUAAGUCUCCCAAGGUUUUUGAGACAGGGAUAUCCAACAGCUUCAUGGACACCUGGCCCAGCUACUCACUUGAGCUGGAGCACCCCACCCUCUAUCUGCCUAAUAUUUUCUCUUCCUAAGAGAGAGAGAGAGUCUAACUAAAAGAGUCUCUUUGUAACUAACUAUUCAGAAGCUCUCCUAUUGGGCAUAGAGUUUUAUGCCAAGUGACUUCAGAAGCAGAUGGCCUCCCUCAGAUACAACUUAAACUUGGUCAUUUUUGCCUUGGUCAUGGGAUCUCGCCAUGACUAAUGGGUUCCUGUUCUCAUCAUUGAGGCCAGUGUGGUGUUGCCUUCAUCCAUGCACACAGCAUGAACUGCGGCAGUUUGUUUGCAAAAAGAAUCUCUAGGAAUAGCUUUCCUGAGAAGGGAACUGUGGACAUGUGAGUCCUUUAGAGCUCCAUGGGUUCUCCUCCAGCAUGCCAUUGUGCAGGGGCUUUCCCUGAUUCAUUUUCAAAACUGGCUAAUGACUUAUUGGGUAUACCAGGGGCCGCUGUGACAUUCUGCAUUCAUCUUGUAGCUGUAUUUGGCCAGACUGUGGGUAUGCAAUGUGAUAAUCUCUCAGUGUCACUCAUUAAAAGUCAUCCUUUAUUGAUGUCAUCAGAUGGUUAGAGAGCUUGGUAGGCUUUCAAGGUGAGCCUUCUGGAUUAUGUACAUACAGUUGGCCCUUAAACAGCAUGAAUUUGAACUGCCCAGGUCUACUUAUACAUUGGUUUUCUUCCACCUCUGCCACCCCUGAGGCAGCAAGACCCACUCCUCCUUUUCGUCCUCCUCCUCAGCCUGCUCAGCAUAAAGACAAUGAGGAUGAAGGCUUUUAUGAUGAUCCACCUCCACUUAAUGAAUAGUAAAUAUAUUUUCUCUUCCUUAUGAUUUUUUUUGACAGGGUCUUGCUUUGUUGCCCAGGCUGGAGUGCAGUGGUACGAUCUCAGCCCACUGCAACCUCCACCCCCCAGGCUCAAGUCAUCCUCCCACUUCAGCCUCCCAAAUAGCUGGGAACACACGUGCAUCACCAUGCCUGCCUAAUUUUUUUUUUUUUUUUUUUUUUUAGAGAUGUGGUCUCCCUGUAUUGCCCAGGCUUGUCUGAGAAUCCUCAGCUCAAGCGAUCCUGUCGCCUAGGCCUCCCAAAAUGCUGGGAUUACAGGCAUGAGCCACCACACCCAGCCCAAUAAUAGCCAUUCUAAAUAGGGAGAGAUAAUAUUUCAUUGUGGUUUUGAUUUGCAUUUCUUUGAUAAUAGUGAUGUUGAGGACUUUUUAUAUACCUGUUGGCCAUUUUUAUGUCAUCAGAGAUGGCUAUUCAGCUCAUUUGCCCAUUUUUAAGUUGGAGAUAUAUCUCCAACUUAAAUGUGUGUGUGUAUAUAUAUAUAUAUCCAACUUAAAUGUGUGUGUGUAUAUAUAUAUAUAUAUCCAACUUAAAUGUGUGUGUGUGUAUAUAUAUAUAUAUAUAUAUAUAUAUAUAUAUAUAUAUAUAUAUAUGGCUGUUGUUUGAAUUCCUAGUAUAUUCUGAGUAUUAAUUCCUUGUCAGAUGAAUAGUUUGCAGGUAUUUUCUCUCAUUCUUCAGAUUGUAUCUUCACCCUGCUGAUUGUUUCGUUUGCUGCACAGAACGUUUUUAGUUUGAUAUAAUCCCAUUUGUCUAUUCUUAUUUUUGUUGCCUGUGCUUUUGAGGCAUAUUCAUAAAAUCUUUGCCAAGACCAAUGGCUUCAAGUGUUUCCUCUAUGUUUUCUUCUAGUAGUUUCACAGCUUCAGGUCUUAUACUUAAGUCUUUAAUCCAUCUUGAGUUUAUUUUUGUAUAUGGUGUGAGGUAGGGCUCUAGUUUCAUUCUUCUGCAUGUAAGUAACCAGUUUUUCUAGCACCAUUUAUUGAAGAGACUGUCCUUUCCACAAUGUAUAUUCUUGGUACCUUUGUUGAAAAUCAGUUGGCUGUAAAUAUGUAGAUUUAUUUCUGGGUUUUCUGUUCUAUUCCGUUGGUCUAUGUGUCUCUUUUUAUGCCAGUACCAUGUGCUUUGGUUACUAUAGCCUUGAAGUAUAUUUUGAAGUCAGGUAGUGUGAUGCCUCCAGCUUUGUUCUUUUUGCACAGGUUUGCUUUGGCUGUUGGGGUCUUUUGUAGUUCCAUAUGAAUUUUAGUAUUGUUUUUUCUAUUUCUGUGAGGAAUGUCAUUGGUGUUUUGAUAGCAAUUGCAUUGAUUCUAUAGAUCACUUUUGGUAAUAUGGUCAUUUUCACAAUAUUAACUCUUCUAGUCUAUAAACAUGGGAUGUCCUGUGAGAUGUCCAAAGACAUCCCAUGUUCACAGACUGGAAGAAUUAGUACACACAGACACACACACACACACACACAAAUAUGUACAUAUUCCGAUGGAGGUUAUUGAAGACCCAGGAUUUGGUCCUUGAUUUGUAGGAUCAGAAAAUUCACUUUAUUUAAUUCAGAACUGACCUCUUUAGAAAUUGAUUCUUAAUAACCCCACUCAGAAGAGACCAUUUGUUAUCCACCUGACCAAGUUAUUAUUUUAUCUCAGAGAAUGAAGCUGGCAGGCUGACCCUGGUCAUAUGCUUGAGGUACUUCCUCCUGGUGGAAAGGCAUUCCUAGGAGAUCAAAUUAAAGAUCUGAAGAUUUGGUGAAUAUUAAAUUACAUUAAAGGGAAUUGAAUGUCCUUUUUUUUUUUUUUUUUUUCCCCGAAACAGACUCUUGCUCUUUAGCCCAGGCUGGAGUACAAUGGCGCCAUCUCAGCUCACUGCAACCUCCAACCCGGGUUCAAGCAAUUCUCCUGCCUCAGCUUCCCAAGUAGCUGGGAUUACAGGUGCCUGCCCUGUAAUUAGCAUGCCUGGCUAAUUUUUGUAUUUUUAGUAGAGACGGGGCUUCACCAUGUCGGCCAGGCUGGUCUCGAACUCCUGACCUCAGGUGAUCCCCCCACCUCGGCCUCACAAAGUGCUAGGAUUACAGGUGUCAGCCACUGCACUCGGCCUGUUCUUAAGGGAUACAUCUAGCAGAUUGACGAGGCCUUAACGAAUGACCUUCCUCCCCUCAAAGGACAUUUCAGUCUGGAUGACUGAUUUGGAUUAUUUAUGUCAAAGUUUUUGGAGACUUUUACCACAUCUUUCUCUCAGGUAACUGCCGUUUUGCUGAACUUCAAGGGACCAUUUCUCUUAUGCCAUUAACAGCAUAGUUUGGAGUUGAGAAGACCUAGGUUAAAAUCCUAGCAGUGGGAUUUGUUGUAUCAUAGCGAACAAUUCUCAUCACCCUUUGAAUUUCGAGAUCCCUGUAGUUAAAAGUGGAAAUAAUCAGAGCCUUCUCAAUGGAUUGUCAUGAGGAUUAAUGAAAUAGUGUAUGUAAAGUUUCUGGCAUUGUGCCUGACACAGUAGCUGCUCAACAAACGGUAGCUAUCAUUAUUGCUUACAUCAUGUACAUAGAUUUCAUUCUCCUUGCUGAGAUGAGACACCCUAAAGUACAUCACCCAUGCAUUUAUAAAGCAUCUCUAAAAGCUGUUACUUUGGCCGGGCACAGUGGCUCACACCUGUAAUCCCAGCACUUUGGGAGGCCGAGGCGGGUGGAUCAUUUGAGUUCAGGAGUUCAAGGCCAGCCUGGCCAACAUAGAGAAACCCUGUUUCUACUAAAAAUACAAAAAUUAGCUGGGUGUGGUGGCGGGAGCCUAUAGUCUCAGCUACCUGGGAGGCUGAGGCAGGGAGAAUUGCUUGAAUUCGGGAGGUGGGGGUGGCAGUGAGCCGAGAUUGUGCCAUUGCACUCCAGCCUGGGAGACAGAGUGAGACUCUGUCUCAAAAAAUAAUAAUAAUAAAUAAAUAAAAGCUGUUACUUCUUUAAAAUGCUACUGAUACCUUUGUGGUUAAUUUUAUAUUGAUUACUUUUUAUGCUGAAUUUCAGAAAGUGACAUUUUAUGAUCGCAUCUCUGAUUUUUGUUAGAGAUCAUCUAAUUUCAUGAAACUGAGAGCGUAUCCAGUUUAGGGCUUGCAGCCAUCCAUGAACUGUGUGAAAUUUAGUAAUGUCUGUUGGGCUUUCAUAGGGCAGAUAUUUGAGAUCCAGUUCUUUUGUAGAAUGAAGUAGACUCCAUUAGAGACUGGCAAAUUCCCUAUAAUUAAUUACAAUUUUUUAAAAAAAGCAUGUCCUCUGGGAGAUCCCUUAGAAUUUUCCUCACUUGUAACUGUAGCUGAUCUAUUGUGCUGUUUUACAAAGAGGGGGCAAACUCAUUAAAGUUUUUGGAUCCUAUAGUACUGAAAUAUUACUCAAAAGUUCAAAUGGGCUUUGAUUUAUUUAUCUGUUUUGGAAGCUUCAGACUUUUCAAACCAUUAUGGCCGUUAAUGCAUCUGAUACAAGAUUGGAUGUGAUUAUAGGAACUUUGAGAACAUAAAACAUACUGCUUUUUUGCAUUUCUGAAAAAUUCUUACCAAAAGGAAGAAUUUGACUUCUGUCCAGAAGGAGUAUCUGAUUUGUUUGGACUCUGGAUAAACUCGAGCUGUGCAUAUUUGGCCAAGAGUUUGAUUUGUGGACUGAUCAUCGAGCCGUGGGCAAGACUCAGGCUUCAGAAAGCGAUGUCAGUGUCAAGAAUCCCACAUGAACAUUAAAUAUGCUUCUGGACAGAUAAACACUCGAGCCAAAAAAAAAAAAAUCCAUCUCAUCAAGAGGGCAGAGGAACAUAAGCACUGAGCAACUUCUGAACCUUCAGGAAGUGGACGCUACUCCACAACAUUUUGUUUUUGUUUUUGUUUUUGUUUUGAGACAGUCUUGCUCUGUUGCCCAGGCUGGAAUGCAAUGGUGCGAUCUUGGCUCACUGCAACCUCCGCCUCCCGGGUUCAAGCAAUUCUUCUGCCUUAGCCUCCCAAGUAGCUGGGAUUACAGGCAUGCGCCACUAUGCCCAGCUAAUUUUGUAUUUUUAGUAGAGAAAAGGGGACCCCCAUACACUGUUGGUGGGAAUGUAAAUUAGUAUAACCACUGUGGAGAACAGUUUGGAGGUUCCUCAAAAAACUAAAAAUAGGACAUAUGAUCCAGCAAUCCCACUGCUGGGUAUAUAUCCAAAAGAAAGGAAAUCAGUAUAUUGAAGAGAUAUGUGCACUCCAUGUUUAUUGCACCACUGUUCACAAUAGCUAGGAUUUUGUUUUGUUUUGUUUUGAGACAGAGCCUUACUCUGUCACCCAGGCUGGAGUGCAGUGGCACAAUCUCGGCUCACUGCAACCUCCGCCUCCUGGGUUCAAGCAAUUCUCGUGCCCUAGCCUCCUGUACCUGGGACUACAGGCACCCAGCACCACACUUGGCUAAUUUUUGUAUUUUUAGUAGACGCGGGGUUUCACCAUGUUGGCUAGGCUGGUCUCGAACUCCUGGCCUCUAGGGAUCCACCUGCCUCGGCCUCCCGAAGUGUUGGAAUUACAGGUGUGAGCCACUGUGCCAGGCCUCUGACAAAGCUAAGAUUUGGAAGCAGUCUAAGUGUCUAUCAACAGAUGAAUAAAUAAAGAAAAUGUGGUACAUAUACACAACGGAGUGCUAUUCAGCCAUAAAAAAAGAAUAAGAUUCUGUCAUUUUCAGCAACAUGGAUGGAACUGGAGAUCAUGUUAGGUGAAAUAAGCCAGGCACAGAAAGACAAACAUUGCAUGUUCUCACGUAUUUGUGGGAUCUAAAAAUCAAAACAAUUAAACUCAUGUACAUUAAGUGUAGAAGGAUGGUUACCAGAGGCUGGGAAGGAUAGUGGGGAGGGGGUGGAAGGAAGGAGGAUCAUGUUAAUGGGUACAAAAAAUAGAAGGAAUAAGACCUACCAUCUGAUAGCACAACAAGGUGACUAUAAUAACUUGUCAAUUAAUAAUAACUUAAUUGUACAUUUUAAAAUAACUAAAAAAGGGCCGGGCAUGGUGGCUUAUGCCUAUAAUCCCAGCACUUUGGGAGGCCGAGACAGGUGGAUCACGAGGUCAGGAGAUCGAGACCAUCCUGGCUAACACGGUGAAAACCUGUCUCUACUAAAAAUACAAAAAAUUAGCUGGGCGUGAUGGUGGGUGCCUGUAGUCCCAGCUACUCAGGAGGCUGAGGCAGGAGAAUGGCAUGAACCCGGGAGGCGAAGCUUGCAGUGAGCCGAGAUCGCGUCACUGCACUCCAGCCUGGGAGACAGAGCAAGACUCCGUCUCAAAUAAAUAAAUAAAUAAAUAAAAAUAACUGAAAGAGUAUAACUAGAUUGUUUGUAACACAAGGGAUAAAUGCUUGAGGGGCUGGAUUUGCCAUUCUCCAUGAUGUGAUUAUUACACAUCGCAUGCCUGUGUCAAAACAUUUCACGUACCCCAUAAAUAUAUAUACCUAAUAUGUACCCACAAAAAUUAAAAAUUAAAAAAAUUUAAAAAAUAAAUAAACACUGACUGACAAAUGCUAAUGAGUGCCAGGACACUAAUAGAGUGCCACAACAGAGAAUAUUGGGAGGAGCAGGGAGACCCUAUUUACACAGGUGGUCAAAGAUGACCUCUCUGUGUGAGACCUGAAGGAUGAAGAGAAGCCAGCCUCCGGGGGUGGAGAAAACAGGACUGAGAUGAUUGUAAGGUGAGAGAAAGCUCAGGGGAUUCAAGAAAGCUUAAGGUGUGGCUGGAAGACUAUUGUGAGGGAAGCCUGGUGAGGUUGUGAGAGUUGGAGUCAGGUUUUAUUCUAAGCACAAUGGAAAGCCAUGGAAUGGCUUUAAAGUGUAUGUGCAUUCCUCUGUGCGUACGUAUGUGCAUGCACGUAUAUGCGCGUGUGUGUGUGCAUCUGAUAUAUCGUCUGGAGCAUAUUGUAGAGACCCAUGAGAAGGUUCCCCACUAGAAUUGGUAGUUAUGACCUCGUGAUCCCUACUACAGCCUUUGAUGAAACAUCAAAAUGUCACUCAAGCAUGAGCUUGUCCAUCAGCAUGAGACAUGAUCAAAUAUGAAUUAUCAAAGAAAUUUUCCCCAGUUCUGGGACACACACAUGACCAGAUGUUCCAUGUUGGGUAGCAUAGCCUGAUUUUUUUUUUUCUGAUGCUGAGUUUUGCUCUUGUCGCCCAGGCUGGAGUGCAACGGGCGCGAUCUGGCUCACUGCAACCUCCGCCUCCCGGAUUCAGGUGAUUCUCCCUGCCUCAGCCUCCCAAGUAGCUGGGAUUACAGGUGCAUGCCACCAUGCCUGGCUAAUUUUUGUAUUUUUAGUAGAGACAGGGUUUCAUCAUAUUUGUCAGGCUGCUGACCUCAGGUGAUCUGCCCGUCUCGGCCUCCCAAAGUGCUGGGAUUACAGGUGUGAGCCACCGCACCCGGCCGCAUAUCCUGAUUUUUAACUUCCAGCCUCUUGUUCCAAUGCAAUCCUCAUAAUGUCCCUUACUGAUGUCCCUCUUUGUUGCAUCCUGGGUCUUGCUCCUUUUACUCCCCUCUCUUUUCUUUCUCUUUUGAUCUCCGCCUGUCCUUCCUCUUCUCUCCUUUCCCCUCCCCUCUCCAUCCUUCCUCUCCUUCUCUUCUCUCUGCCUUUCUCAUUAAGAGUCAAAGUUCCUUGCCAAACCACAGCUCUUAGGUUUCUAUUUUCCCGAACAGAUUUCUUGGCUGGUUUUACAGACUUUUCAAUUGGUUCUCUCUUCUGCUUCCAUGUAGUCUCUUCUCUGUUUCCAGUCACUGCUCCUAGACACUCUCCUCCCCUCCCUUAACAAGCCUAACCCCUAGGUUACAAAGUUUGAAAAAUGUCAACAGGAAAAAGGGCUCUUCCUGUAGCCCUGUAAAAAAGAAGACGUGAAGGAGUUAACCUCGAGCGACAUCAGUCUCCAGCCAUCAGUACAGUGAGGCAGUUCUUGAAAACCAGACAGAACAGAAGGUAUCACUGUGCAACGUCCCUUCUGUGGCUCACGGCGCCCUCUGAGUCAGGAUAAUGAGAGAACAUUCUUAAAACAUGACCUAACCACGCUCUGUCCUCAAACAAAUUCCUGGAUGUGUGUGGAGUAAGCUCUCCCAGCAAGCCUGAGCACAGACGUGCGGGGCGGGCUUGUUAGCACUCUUCUGAGUUGCUCCCUUUACAAAGCCACCUUCCCAGCCAGUUCAUUUGUAUUAAAGUAAACUUUUAAAAAUAACCAGUCAGUCUGUCCAGCAAACAUGCUAUGGGCCUCUUAUGGCUGUACUUUCAUAAUUUUAUAUUGUGGCGACUGGGUCUCUGUCUUGGGGGGUAUUUGGGGGCCUUUGACUUCACACUGUAGCAGGAAGAAGUUAUGCAAAAUUCUCGUCAGAUAUAGAAAAAAGGAAACAGGAUAUCAUUCAUUUCCAGAAUGGAGCAGAAUCACAACACAGUGAUUGUGAUUGCAGAGUGUCCUUUAUUUCACCUACACCUGAAGUUGUGUGUGUGUUUGUGCGUGUGUGUGUUUAAUACAGGCGGCUUAUCUGAGUGAUUUUAAGAAAUUAAUUUAAUUGAAAAAUGAUUAAAUUACAAAGAGAGGAAAAAGCAUUUGGUUGGCAUUACAUGGGGUCAGAGGCCACUGCUAAUGCAAUAUUUCAUCAAUUGCCUCAUUGCUAUUCUUUCAAUGAUGUGAUUUAGUUUCUCAAAUAGCUCUUAUCCUGGCAGGCUUGCCUUAGAUACAUUGUACAGAGGCCUUAUAAUCAUUACAAUGUAUUUACUUAAACAUUUUAAAAACAAUUAAGCACUUUUAGAUAUAUUUGUGUAUGUGCGUGCGUGCAUGCAUGCGCGUGUGUGUGUGUGUGUGUGUGUGUGUGUGUGUGUGUGUGUGUGUACAUGUCCACAGAGGGAUUUUAUAAAUGUCCGGACAAGGGUUCUGAGUGAACACUAGGACAAGUGUUGAAUUUAUCCACUGUAGUGCCCUUCAUGCAUUUCAAAGAGCUCCAUGCAGACUCAUGUUAAGCUUUUUUCAUGCCCUUUGAAUAUACCACUAUCUCCCUUUAAUACACUGAAGAAACAAGAGGACAAAGAGUCUCCCUGUGUUCCUUAUCCAAGGCCACACAACUGUUGCUGGAACCUUGAGCUUUCUGAGUGCCAGGCACUUACUUGCAGUAUAUCGAACGCUGGGAUAUGGUGGAGGUUUAGUUUGUUAAAAAGUGUGAUAGCCCUAUGAUUGUGGGAAAAAGUUUUGACAUACUUUGUUUUUUAUUUUAAUGCAGAUCAAGUCAUUAUAAUGGUCUUUCUCUUAGAAGGCUACUGAGGUUGGGUUAAACAGUAACAGGGGUGCUUGGGAAAGGGUAGAGCAACAUUUUGGCAGCAUAUGAAUGGGUAUGUGUGCACAUGGGUGGUAAUACCGCAUGCCCUGACCUGUCCUAUGCCUCUUCCCCUUCACCUUUGUUUCAAAAUGUUGUGUCCAGCGUUGAAAAAUGCUGGCACAGUUUGAUGCAGGUGUUUGCAACCUCCUUCACCCCAAAUGCCAUGGUGGUGGGGAUGCUAGGCUCUCUUAGCAUCCCCCUCCUCGUGCUGCAUGAGGUGGGAAGGCAAAAUCAUGUAUUCAUUCAUCAAACGCUGAUCAAGCACUUAAGUGCUAAGUACUGUUCGAGGUUCUGCGGAUUCACAGAGGAAUAAUAUUCGGUCUUUGUGCUAGCGGGGAGGUAGGAAAGUAAACAAGGCCAUAGAGUAAGCUCUACGAUAGAGGUAGAUGUGGGCCUGGGUGGUGGUGGGGGCACAGGGGAGAUGAAGGAGAGGAAAAGGAAGGUUCUCACGGUGAGGGAUGGUGAAAGGCCUCCAAGAAUUGCUGGAGGCCCCAUUCAGUGGUGGGUGCUGGCGCGUCAGUUCCCUCUGAGAGGAAGCAUUUCUCAGCAGCACCAAACACUGGCUAGACCUUGAGCUAGAUGACGUUUGUUGUCAACUCUCCCAGCCUUCCUGUCUGCGCCCUUUCCCUCCCUGUCUGGAAGGAAGCUCCCAACAGCCUUUUCAAAAUCUGCUUAGGGCAGCUAUGCAUAAUCAAUAUUUAUUGAAUCAAAUUGAUCUGAAAAGUAUUCGCACUACGGUAUAAAUGGCUCAUACAGGGUACACCUGGGCACAUGUACCUGGAAGCCUCAAGCUAAAAGAGCUUUUGCCAGCUCAGCAGGAGAGCUUCAUAGUAUGUUGGAGGCUCCUACACCCGAGUGCACAUUUUCUGGAUGGUUGCCCACUUUUUCUGUACUUUAAGCUGGCCCUACUUCCAAGCGCCCAGCCUUACAUGUUUUCCCUUCCCUGCCCACUAUUGUGGCUAUAUGAUAAGGCAGGAUGAGGGCCGAUAACUGCUAGUCUCAGACCUUUUGGCUAGAAAUGCCACAAGACUACAGCAACAACUGCUUUGAAGCCUGGGAGAGACCAGUGAUGAAAAACAAAGUUGCGGCCAGGCACAGUGGCUCAUGCCUGUAAUCCCAGGACUUUGGGAGGUCAAGGCGGGCGGAUCACUUGAGGUCAGGAUUCAAGACCAGCCUGGCCAACAUGGCGAAACCCUGUCUCUACUAAAAAUACAGAAAUUAGCUGGGAAUGGUGGUGCAUGCCUGUAAUCCCAGCUACUUGGGAGGCAGAGGCAGGACAAUCACUUGAGCCCAGGAGGUUGCAGUAAGCCGAGAUGGUGCCACACACUCCAGCCUGGGUGACAGAGCAAGAAAGAAAGCAAAAGUAAAACAAAGUUGCAGUGAAUGGGACUGGACGUUUAAAUGUCUCUUUUAAAUGCACUCACUAUUUUGGUUCAUGGUUUACCACUCGUAUGUUUACUGCAUGAGGGCAGAACUGGUGUGGCACAUACAUUGAAAUUCUACCUCUAAUGUGAGAUAGAAAGCAGGGGGAACUGACCAGGAACCUCCACCUUAUUCCCAGUCAUAGCGUUCCACUAGGAUUCUCCCAUGGACCAUAUUUCAGUGUACAAAAUUGUCAUAUUCACAGAAAGUACCACAUUUGUUUCCCCAACCAUCAGGGUUGUAUAGUUACAGUCAGUGCCCUGUGCAGUAAAGACUGGCAAUUGGAUGUUUUUCAGACCUUCAACUUAGUUCAUUAUGAGAAGCUGUCUAAAAAAACAAACAAACAAGCGAACAACAAACUACAGUCUUCAAUUAAAGGUUCAGAGGCCAGGCACAGAGGCUUAUGCCUGUAACCCCAGCACUUUGGGAGGCCAAGGCAGGCAGAUCACUUGAAGUCGGGAAUUCAAGGCCAGCCUGGCCAACAUGGCGACACCCUGUAUCUACCAAAAGUACAAAAAUUAGCUGGGCAUGGGGUGGUGCUCGCCUGUAAUUCCAGCUACUUGGAAGGCAUGAGAAUCACUUGAAUCACCCAGGAAGCAGAGCUCACGGUGAGCCGAGAUUACACCACUGCACUCCAGCCUGGGUGACAGAGCAAGACUCUGUCUCAAAAAAAAAAAAAAGAGGUUCAGAAAGUGGACACCUUUUAGCACUAUCUAAUAGAAAUAUGAGUCAUAUAAGUAAUUUCAAAUUUCCUAGGAAUAAUAUUCAGAAAAGUAAAAGGAAAUGGGUGAAAUUCAUUUUAAUAACAUAUUUUACUAAACCCACUAAAUUGAAACAUUGUCGUUUCAACAUGUAAUGAAUAUUUUUUAUUUUUAGAAUCAGAGCCUCACUCUGUUGCCCAGGCUAGAGUACUGUGAUGCAAUCAUGGCUCAGUCAACCUUGAACUCCUGGGCUCAAGCCAUCCUCCCACCUUAGCCUCUUGAAUAGUUGGGACUACAGGCCUGUGCACCACCACACCCAGUGAUUUAUUUUUAUUUUUAUUUAUUGUAGAGAUGGGGUCUCGCUAGGUUGCCCAGGCUGGUCUGGGACUCCUAGGAUCAAGCAGUCCUCCUGCCUCAGCCUCUGGACUACAGGUGCAUGCCACCUUGCUCAGCUAAUUAAAACAUUUUUUUUUUUUUAAUGGAGACAGAGUCUUGCUCUGUCACCCAGGUUGGAGUGCAGUGGCAUGAUCUUGGCUCACUGCAACCUCUGCCUCCUGGGUUCAAGCAAUUCUACCUCAGCCUCCCAAGUAGCUGGGAUUACAGGCACCCGCUACCAUGCCCGGCUGAUUUUUUGUAUUUUAGUAGAGACAGAGUUUCACCAUGUUGCCCAGGCUGGUCUCGAACUCCUGAGCUUGGGCAAUCCACCUGUCCUGGCCUCCCAAAGUGCUAGGAUUACAGGCUUGAGCCACCACGCCCGGCCAACACUUUUUUUUUUUUUUUUUGAGACAGAGUCUUGCCACCCAGGCUGGAGUGCAGUGGCACGAUCUCAGCUCACUGCAACCUCUACCUCCCAGGCUAAAGCAAUUCUCCUGCCUCAGCCUCUCAAGUAGCUGGGAUUACAGGUGUGUGCUACCAUGCCCAGCUAAUUUUUGUACUUUUAGUAGAGAUGGUUCCAGCUACUUGGGAGGCUGAGACGGGAGGAUAGCUUGAGUCUGAGAGGGUGAGGCUGCAGUGAGCUCUGAUUGCGCCACUAUACUCCAGCCAGGACAACAGAGUAAAACAUUGUCUCAAAAAUUAAAAAGAAAAAGAAAGAAAAUGAAAAACAAUGACCACACCUCUAUAUGUGUGUGUGUGUGUGUGUGUUUGUGUGUGUGUGUGUGUGUGAGAAAUGAAUGUUCUUUGCUGGCAAUCUGACAUACAGGAGAAAUUAACAGAGUUAAUGGCUAUUCUGGCAUCUGCUCCCAAGCCACUGAGACCACAGAAUUAGAGGAUGGGAAGGGACCUUGGAGAUCUUGUUAACUGUGUCCUGGACCCUCAUUGCAAGGAAUCAGAUUCAACUGGCCUAGGGAGGGGUCUAAGUAUCAACAUUUUUAGACGUCCCCUAGGUGAUUCUAACGUAGGGGCUGGGCUCUAAAUGCAGAAACAUCCCUUUUGUUUUAUAGGUGAAGAGACAGGGGCUAACUGAGGUCAGUGACUCAUCUUACAGCUUGUUAGAGGCAGAGUGAAGCCCGGAAUCCGGAUAUUCUUCUCUACCCAGCUCACACAGAGGACAUUUCCAUAAUACCUUCAUCAUGGGUCAUUCUCUUGCUUAACCCCAGAGUUGCUCUCAUUUUGAAUUGAGACACAUUCCUCCGCUUAACCUAGCUUAGACACAAACUUCAACAAACUUCUCUGAACCCUUACUUGCCAAGAAAAUCUUCAGAUCAGUGAAAACAUUGAAGUGAUUCUGGUCCGGGACCAUGGCUGUAAAUGCCUCCCAUUUUAGACCCAACUGGGACCUGACACCCUAUACUGAAUAUAGAGUUUAAUUAGAGGGUACAGGGAGGGGCCCCAAAGAAGCAAACACUUGAGUCUGAUGAGUCUCAUUGAUGCACAGCCUAAGCCAGAGUGACCCAUUAACAGGGUCUCACACUCAGAUAUAUCUGAGUUCAGAGCAGGUAAUGCAUGUGAGUAGUGUGGGUUAGGUGGGGGCUCUGGCCCAAGCUCCUCCUAGCUAUGCGGGGAGGAUGCAAUGCAAGUCCAGUCCUUCCAAUUUCUCAAAGAAGUCGCAAAUUUGGGUUUUUGUUUGUUUUGGUUUUUGUGAAAAACCCUGUUUUGUGAAUGUUGGCAACUAGUUUGAUUUUUAGAAAAACACUGUAAGAGUCAAAUAAAACCCACUCGUGAGCUAUAUUCUGCUUGUGAGGCUUCAGAAUACAUCUUUUAGAUAAGUCCAAGACUUUUUUUUUUUUCAGAUGGUCUCGCUCUGUUGCCCAGGCUGAAGGGCAGUGACACACAGAUCACUAUAGCCUUGACCUCCUGGGCUCAAGCCAUCCUCCCAUUUCAGCCUCCCGAGUAGCUGGGAUUACAGACAUACACCACCAAGGAAUAUGACUUCAUCAUAUUCAAUAUCGAGUUUUACUGGUUUCUAAAAUGUUGGCCUAAUACCAUCAUGUAGGUUGAGCAUCCCUAAUCCAAAAAUUCAAAAUCCGAAACUUUUUUUUUUUUUCUUUUUUUGAGACAGAGUCUUGCUCUGUCGCCCAGGCUGGAGGGCAGUGGCACGAUCUCAGUUCACUGCAAGCUCUGCCUCCCAGGUUCACGCCAUUCUCCUGCCUCAGCCUCUUCAGUAGCUGGGACUACAGGAGCCCGCCACCACGCCCGGCUAAUUUUUUUGUAUUUUUAGCAGAGAUGAGUUUUCACCGUGUUAGCCAGGAUGGUCUUGAUCUCCUGGCCUCGUGAUCCGCCCGCCUCGGCCUCCCAAAGUGCUGGGAUAACAGGCGUGAGCCACCGCGCCCGGCCCAAAAUCCGAAACUUUUUGAGCGCCAGCAUGACACCACUAGGGGAACGUUCCACACUCGACGUCAUGUGAUGGGUUCAGUCAAAACAUUGUUCCAUGAACAGAAUCAUUAAAAAUAUUGAAUAAAAUUACCUUCAGGGUAUGUGAAUAAGGUGUAUAUGAAACAUAAAUGAAUUUCGUGUUGAGACUUAAUUCUAUUCUCAAGAUAGCUCAUUUUGUAUACAGAAAUAUUCCCAAAUCUGAAAAAUAUCUGAAAUUCGAAACACUUCUGAUCCCAAGCAUUUCAGAUAAGGGAUACUCAACCUGUCCUUACCUUGCCUUAGACAUUGUGAAACUGAUGACAGUCAACACUGGUACCAGAAGGAAAAGUAAUUCAGAAGUCCCACCUCUGUUCCCCUUUUAAAUGUUACUCAUUUUCUCACUUUCCACUUUAUUAUUUAUUUUGGGUGAGGCACUUGUGAUUUUUUUUUUUUUUUUUUGAGACAGGGUCUCACUCUGUCACCCAGGCUGGAGUACAGUGACACGAUCAUGGCUCUCUGCAGCCUUGACCUUCCCAGUCAAGCUCAGGUGAUCCUCCCACCUCAGCUCCCGAGUAGCUGAGACUGCAGGCAUGCACCACCACACCCGGCUAAUUUUUGUAUUUUUUUUUUUUAAGACAGGGUUUCACCAGGCUGCCCAGGCUGGUUUCGAACUCCUGGGCUCUAGUGAUCCACCCACCUCAGCCUCCCAAAGUAUAGGCACGAUUCCACGACUCCCAGCCAUAAAUUUUCAUAAUGAAGUUGAAAUUAAAGAUUAUUACAGUUCAUAAGAUCCAUAUAAUUUAUUUCAAAGUUCUUUUUGAAGUUGUGAGUCAGGCUUACUAGCAUCACCAUGGGAUAGAUACUAGUUCUGCUAUACACAACUAUGUAAGGAAAAAUGUUUUCAUUCACUGCAAAAUGAGACGGAAGCUUACAUUGUAGCACUGGGGCAACCUCUUAGCCAAUGAAAUGAUAUUGCAAAUAAAAAGCAAAAUUACUCUUACCCACAUUCUUCAUUUUAAGAAAACACCCUUGGAUAAGUACAUAGAGUGAGAGUCCUUGAUUUGAACUAAUCUAAGGUAUUAAUAAUAACAGGUGAAUGCUUAGAUAAUGAUUUAAGAGUUGAUGCUAAUUUACCCUUUAAUUGGAAGUAUUUAUAAAGCAAACAUAAAUGUAAGUUAUUUGUGAAGCAUAUAAGAGAUGAACAGAAAAUAUGCAUGUCAUUUGUAUUUUAGUUAUUCUCCCUACACAUACAUAACCUUGAUUUUUGCCACAGUUCGUUUUUCUACAUGUAAAAAACUUAAUUAGAUUGUGUGCUUGUGACAAUCAGUUUCAAGUAUAUUUCUGUGAGAAGCUCCACUGUCCCCAAAUAACCAGAGGUAGGUAACAGUUUCUGACAAAAGCUUGAGGGAACAGGAUUAAAUGAUAAUUACAGCGAUUAUAUUUUAUCUAAAACCUUCAAGUCUCUGGAAAGCUGCUUGGUUUCUAUUUUGGGCCAUGCUGCCCACAUAUCUUAACGACAGAAUUUAUGCAUAAUUUUGCUCUUCCUGUUUUUAUCUCUGUUUGGGUGUAUUUAUUACUUCAUAUGUGGUGAUGCAAGGCUCAUUGAAAGGUCCAUUUAUAUCCUGGUUAUCUGCAUGGGGAUCUAGCUGCUUUUCUCUCGCUGUUUCUAGAACUCUCACUGUAACAUUCAGAUUUGCUGGCACCCAGCCUUUUCCAGCACAUAUACAUUCCGCUCCCUCAGUGACUCUAUUUAUGGGAGUCUAUGUGAUUUACUCAAGACUAAUAAAGACCGUGUAGAAGGAUGGGUCAUGGAUUUAUCCAUCCAUGGAAUUUUAGCGCAUUCAGAGGGAGGUUUAUCUUCUGUUCUUCCCCCGCUACCCCCCAAUUUAAUUAAAACAACAAAAAAGGCGUUAGUCCAAAUGAGGGACAGUUGGCAGAUCUGCGUUAUUCAACUGGAGGGACUCCCUAGUUUCUGAUGCUUGGAGAUGGACAAGUAAUUACCUCCUGUCUGUGACUAUUUUCUACCAGGCUAAGCCCAAUGUUUAUUGUAAACUAUCUGCCAUUAAAAGCUGUAAUAGCAAGCCUUAUGUUCCCACACCAUAAAUUUGACUUGCAGUGUUUUUUUAUUUACCUUCAUGUUUUAUUAUAUUCUUUGGAAUGUUUCAUUUUAAAGGAAGAUAACGGGAGAAUGAAAAUUGAACAAAUUCCAAAUUCACGCUUGAAUAAAGAUAUGCUUAACACACAUACUUUUUGCAUACACCCAGACCUCUGAUGGCCACUUUCUGAAUAUUGGCAGCUUCUCUGUAACUAUUAGAGGUAGUUGCUAUAAGUGUAUCACUUGUUAAAUGGUCCUGAAAGUAGCCUAAAAAUGAAAGUUUAAGCAGACCACAUGGGCUGAGGGCAGUGAUUCUCAAACUUUUGCAUCUCAUGAACACCCUUAUUCGAAGACCCCAAAGAGCUUUUGUUUGUGUGAUUAUAUUUAUCAAUACUUACUGCAUAAGAAAUUAGAGCUGAGACAUUUAAAAAUGCUUAUUUAUUUAUUCGUUUAAAAAUAACAAUAGGGCCAGGCACGAUGGUGGCUCAUUCCUGUAAUCCCAGCACUUUAGGAGGCCGAGGUGGGAGAAUCACUUGAGCCCAGGAAUUUGAGACCAGCCUGGGCAACAUGGCAAAAUCCCGUCUCUACAAAAAAAUUUUUAAAAUUAGCCAGGUGUCGGCCGGGCACGGUGGCUCACGCCUGUAAUCACAGCACUUUGGGAGGCCAAGGCGGGUGGAUCAUGAGGUCAUGAGAUCGAGACCAUCCUGGCUAACACGGUGAAACUCUGUCUCUACUAAAAAUACAAAAAAUUAGCCGGGCAUGGUGGCAGGCGCCUGUAGUCCCAGCUACUCAGGAGGCUGAGGCAGGAGAAUGGCGUGAACCCGGGAGGUGGAGCUUGGCAGUGAGCAGAGAUCAUGCCACUGCGCUCCAGCCUGGGCGACAGAGCGAGACUCGGUCUCAAAAAAAAAAUUAGCCGGGUGUCUUGGCAUGCCCCUGUGGUCCCACUACUCAGGAGGCUGAGGUGGGAGGAAAACCUGAGCUUGGCGGGGGUCGAGGCUGCAGUGAGCUGUGGUCACACCACUGCGAUCCGGCCUGAGCAACAGAGUGAGACCUGUCUCAAAAAACAAACAAAUGAAAAAACCCCAAACCAAUAAAUCAUUAUAUGUUAACAUAAAUACCAUUUUUAAUGAAAAAUAACUAUUUUCUGUAGCAAAAAAAAAAAAGUUUAAUAAGAAGAGAGAGAUUGUUUUGGAUUCUGUUUGACUUUAGAAGACAGCUGGAGUCUCAUAUCUGCUUCUUCAGUCUGCUGUAAUAUGUUGCUUUGGUUGAAAUAUAUGAAAAAAACCUGCCCCUACACAGAUAUGUAGUUGUAAAAGGGAAUAUUUUAACAGCCUUUUCAAAUAAUUAUGGAUAUUCUGCUUUGAUCCCAGACCAAAACUUGACAAGUGGAGUUUUUUUUUUUUUUGAGAUGAAGUCUUGCUCUGUCACCUAGGCUGGAGUACAGUGGUAGGAUCUCAGGUCACUGCAACUUCCACCUCCCAGGUUCAAGUGAUUCUCCUGCCUCAGCCCCCCGAGUAGCUGGGACUACAGGUGUGUGCCACCACGCCCGGAUAAAUUUUGUAUUUUUAGUAGAGAUGGGGUUUUGCCAUGUUGGCCAGGCUGGUCUUGAACUCCUGACCUCAAGUGGUCCACCUGCCUCAGCCUCCCAAAGUGCUGGGAUUACUGGUGUGAGCCACCACUCCCAGCCAAAAUAAACAUUUCUGUUUUUUUUUUUUUUUUUUUUUGGACAGGGUUUCCCUCUAUCACCCUGGCUGGAGUACAAUGGUUCAAGUGAUUCUUGUGCCUCAGCCUCCCAAGUAGCUGGAUUACAGGAAUGCGCCACCACUCCUGGCUAAUUUUUCUUUUUUUUCCUUUCUUUCUUUCUUUUUAUUUUAUUUUAUUUUAUGCUUUUUUAAAGCAGAGGCAAGGUUUCACCAUGUUGGCCAGGCUGGUCUUGAACUCCAGACCUCAGAUGAUCCACCCGCCUCAAUCCAAAGUGCUGGGAUUAUGGGUGUGAGCCACCACGCCCAGCAAUUAAGUGUUAGUUUCUUAAAGGUUAGUUGCAAUGUGGAAAUUAAAAUCCUUUCAGUGGAUUUUUUUUUAAACUAAUAGAUUUUAUUUUUUUUUAGAGCAAUUUUAGGUUUAAAGAAAAUGAGACCAUUUGGAGGGUUCUUAUGUGCCCCCUUUCGCCACAUUUUCCUAUAUUAACAUCAUGCAUUAAUGUGGCACAUUUGUUAACAAUUGAUGAAUCAAUAAUACUGUACAUGAUUAUUAAACUAAAGCUCAUAGUUUACAUUAGGAUUAAUUAUUUGUGAUAUACAGUUCCAUGGGUUUGGACAAAUGUAUAAUGAUAUGUGUCCACUAUUACAGUAACCUAUAGAAUAAUUUUACUGCCCUAAACCCUCCCUGUGCUCCUCCUAUUCAGCCCUUCUCUUCUUCCCCUGAACCCUUGGCAACCACUGAUCUUUUGACUAUCUUUAUAGGUUGCCUUUUCUAGAACAUCAUAUACACUUGACCUUUAAACAGCAGGAGUUUUAACUGCACAGGUCCUCUUUCACAAGAUUUUUUUUUGUGUUGAGACAGAGUCUCGCUCUAUCUCCAGGCUGGAGUGCAGUGGCGUGAUCUCGGCUCACUGCAACCUCCGCCUCCUGGGUUCAAGUGAUUCUCCUGCCUCAGCCUCCCGAGUAGCUGGGACUACAGGCGUGCCACCAUGCCCAGCUAAUAUUUUUAGUGGAGAUGGGGUUUCACCAUGUUGGCCAGGCUGGUCUUGAACUCCUGACCUCAGGUGAUCCGCCCAUCUCGGCCUCCCAAAGUGCUGGGAUUAUAGGCGUGAGCCACUGCACCUGGCCAAGAUUUUUUUCAAUGAAAGUUACACAGAAUGUGCUUGCCUCUCCUGUCACCGCUCCCACUUCCUCUACCUCUUCUGCCCCUGCAACCCUUGAGACAGCAAGACCAACCCUCUUCUUCCUCUUCCUUCUCAGCCUACACAGCGUGAAGACAAGGAUAAAGACCUUUAUUUUAUUUAUUCAUUUUUUUUUAAGGUGGAAGUCUUGCUAUGUUGCCCAGGCUGGAGUGCAGUGGCAUGAUCGUAGCUCACUGCAGCCUCAAACUCCUGGGCUCAAGGAAUUCUCCCACCUCAGCCUCCUGAGUAGCUGGGACUGCAGGUAUGCACUACCCUCUAGGCCAAGGAUAAAAACCUUGUGAUGAUCCAGUUCCACUUAAUAAAUAGUAAAUAUAUUUUCUGUUCCUUUUGAUUUUCUUUUUUCUUAUUUUUUAAAAGACGGGAUCUAACUCUGUUGCUGAGGCCGGAGUGCAAUUGUACAAUCUUGUCUCACUACAGCCUCAACCUUCUGGGCUCAAGCAAUCCUCCUGCCUUAGCCUCCCGAGUAGCUAGGACUACAGGUGCGUGCCAGUCCACCUGGACAAUUUUUUUUUUUUUUUUUUUGUAGAGAAGGGGUCUCACCAUAUUGCCCAGGUGGGUUUUGAACUCCUGGCUUCAAGCAAUCUUCCUUCCUUGGCCUCCCAAAACGUUGGGAUUCCAGGUGUGAGCCACUGCCCCCAGCCGGCCUUUCCUUAUGAUUUUCUUAAUAUUUUUUCUUUAUUUUAAGAAUACAGUAUAUUAUAUAUAUAUAUAUAUUAGAAAAUACAUGUUAAUUGACUGCUUAUGUUACCAGUAGGGCUUCUGGUCAACACAAGACGAUUAGUAGUUAUGUUACUGGGGACUUAAAAGUUAUACUCAGAUUUUCAACUGCACACCUACCCCCCUGUGUUGUUCCAGGGUCAGCUGUAAUUGGAAUCAUACAACACAUAGACUUUUCAGAUGGGCUUCUUUCACUAAGCAAUAUGCAUUUAAUGUUCCUUUUUGUGGAUUGAAUGCUCAUUAAUUUUGCUCACUGACUAUUCCACUGUAUGAAUAUACUACAGUUUAUUCAUUCACCUUUUGAAAAAUAUCUUGGUUGCUUCUAGUUUUUAGCAAUUAUGAAUAAAGUUACUAUAAACAUUUGUGUGCAGAUUUUUGUGUGGGCUAAGUUUCCAACUCUUUUUGGUAAAACCCUAGGAGUAUGAUUGCUGGGUCAGAUGGUAAGAAUACAUUUAGCUUUAAAAGAAAUGUAAACUGCCAAACUGUCUUCAAAAGUGGCUGCACUAUUUUGCAUCCCCACUAGCAAUGAAUGAGAGUUUCUAUUGCUCCACAUCUUUGCCAGCAUUAGGUAUUAAUAGGUUUUUGGAUUUUAGCCAUUCUAAUAUGAGUAUAGUAGUAUCUCAUUGUUGUUUUAAUUUGCAAUUCUCCAGUGACAUAUGAUGCUGAGUAUCUUUUCAUGUUUAUUUGCCAUCUGUGUAUUUUCUUUCUUUCUUUUUUUUUUUUUUUUUUGAGACAGGGUCUCACUCUGUUGCCCAGGCUGGAGUGCAAUGGCACAAUCUCAGCUCACUGCAACCUCCGCCUCCCAGGUAAAAGUGAUUCUUCUGCCUCAGCCUCCCAAGUAGCUGGGACUACAGGUGCGCACCACCACAAAGGGCUAAUUUUUAUUUUUAGUAGAGACAGGGUUUCACCAUGUUGGCCAGGCUGGUCUUGGACUUCUGACCUCAAAUGAUCUGCCCGCCUUGGACUCCCAAAGUGCUGGGAUUACAGGCGUGAGCCACCAUGUCCAGCCUACCAUCUGUAUUUUCUUGGGGGAGGUAGCUUUUCAACUCUUUUGCCCAUUUUUAAAAUUUGGUUGUUUGCUACUGCUGAGAUUUAAGGUUUUAAGAGUUCUUUGUGUAUAUUGGAUACUGGUCUUUUAUCAGAUAAGUGUGCUAUUUAAUUUUUGUUUUCUUUUCUUUUUUGAGACAGUCUCACUCUGUUGCCCAGGCUGGAGUGCAGUGGUGAAAUCAUAGCUCGCUGCAGCUGUGAACUCCUAGGCUCAAGCCAUCCUUCUGCCUUGGCCUCCUGAGUAUCUAGGACUAUAGAUGUGCACUACCAUGCCUGGCUAAUUUUUAUUUUAUUUUAUUUUUUAUUUUCAAAUUUUUCUGUAGAGAUAAGUCUUACUAUGUUGCCCGGACUGGUCUCAAAUUUCUGGCCCCAAGAAAUCCUCCUGCCUUGUUAUGUUUUUUUUCUUUAUCAGAUAUGUGUUUUGCAAAUAUUUUCUCCCAAUCUGCAGAGAAAAUAUGUGGCUUGUCUUUCCAUUCUCUUAAACCACUGGAUCUUUCACACUACGACCGUUUGGUGCCACUACCCUGAUGCCUGCUAAACCAUCAGUGUUUGUGUAACAUCACACUGUUGUUUGUGUAAUAUCAGUGCAAAUUGUGUAACGUCACAACAAACACAUCAUUGUUUGUGUAACAUCAGUGCAAAUUUUAAUACAAAGGAAAGGCAAAAGACAUCUUAGUAUUAUUGUGAAAAUAGUUUUAAUUUUGCGGACAUACGAUCAAGGCCCAUGGACCAUACUUUGAGAACUACUGGCCUAAAGCAAACAAGGAUAGCCUGUACUACUCUUUAGUUCAGGCCUCAGUAAGACCAAAUAGAAUAAGAAAUUUGAAUUUUACAAAUAUGUAAUGUUAAUUUACUUUUCUGCAAAAAGAGGUUUGGAAGACACAUAAGAUAUAUAAUUCAUUGAACUUGGUGUUCUAAUUCAUUAGGAAGAGCCCAUUUUGUUUACAUAUUUUUUGCUGGUGAUUUUUGAGAGAAUAUAAUUUUUAUUUAUUUAUUAUUUAUUUAUUUAUUUAUUUAUUUAUUUAUUUUUUGAGACGGAGUCUCAUUCUGUUGCCAGGCUGGAGUGCAGUGGUGUGAUCUCAGCUCACUGCAACCUCCAACUCCCUGGUUCAAGCGAGUCUCCUGCCUCAGCCUCCUGAGUAGCUGGGAUUACAGGCACGCACCACCACGCCCAACUAAUUUUUGUUUUUUUAGUAGAGACAGGGUUUCACCAGGUUGCUCAGGAUGGUCUCAAUCUCCUGACCUCGUGAUCUGCCUGCCUCCCAGAGUGCUGGGAUUACAGGCAUGAGCCACUGCGCCUGGCCUAUAAUUUUUAUUUUUAAAGAAAUACUUUGUAUGUGUAUGUGUGUCUGUGUGUAAAUAUAUCAAGUAGAGUGUAUGGGCCAAUGAAUGUCUCUCUCUUUUUUUUCUGGAGUGCAGUGGCAUAAUCAUGGCUCACUACAGCCUCAAACUCCUGGGCUCAAGUGAUACUUCCACUUCAGCCUCCUGAGUAGCUGGGAUGACAGGCGUGCACCACCACACCCAGCUAACUUUAAAAUUUUUGUAGAGAUAGAGUCUAUGUUGCCCAGAUUGGUCUUGAACUCCUGGGCUCAAGCAAUCCUCCUGCCGCAGCCUCCUAAAGUGCUGGGAUUACAGGUGUCAGCCACCGUGCCUGGCCCUAAAUGUCUCUUAAUGGCAAAUAAUAGGUAGAUAAUGCCUAGUAACGGGUUUAUGAUAUAUUUGUCUAUAUAGACAAACAUAUAGUACCCCAAACUUUUUCCUUUUUCUCCUAGAAAGAAAAAGCAUAUUUUCUUUCCUUCUGGUAGAUGUACUUUUCCCUAUUCCUUCCAUUAAGUACAACCCAAAACCCUGAAUAUUAUAUAUUAAACAAACAUGAGAAGACUCUGAAAGGGGGGGAAGAAAAGGAGGGCAGAAUGUCUAUGGACUGCAGGACCUGAAGAACAACAUUGCAGUGACUUACUUUGUUUUUAUUUUUGACUCAUAUACACCAGACUUGGAGUUGAAAAAGGUAGCAACCUGGAAAUGCCAACAGGAGUAGUCGAAAAAGCCCAACCAAAGCCUGCUGUCUUUAGCCAAAGAACCAUGGAAGAGGCAGCCUAGCAAGAUAGAGAAGUUUUAAACAUCACUAUGGAUUGCAUUGUGUCUCCCCAAAAUUCAUGUCGAAGCCUUAACUCCCAGUGUAAUUGUAUUUGGAGAUGGGGCCUUUGGGAGAUAAUUAGGGUUAGAUGAAGUAAUGAGAAUAAGGCCCUCAUGAUGGAAUCAGCAGCUUUAUAAGAAGAAUGAUGGGGUUGGGUGCAGUGGCUCACAUCUGUAAUCCCAGCGCUUUGGAAGGCCGAGGUGGGAAGAUCACUUGAGGUCAGGAGUUCAAGACCAGCCUGGCCAACAUGGUGAGACCCCGUCUCUACCAGAAAAUACAAAAAUUAGCCGGGCAUGGUGGUGCACGUCUGUAAUCCCAGCUACUCGUUGGGAUGAGGUUGAGGCAUGAGAAUCGCUUGAACACAGGAGGUGAAGGUUACAGUGAGCCAAGAUUGUGGCCUGCUGCACUCCAGCCUGGGAGACAGAAUGAGACCCUAUCAAGAAAAAAAAAAAAAGAGGAGUGGAGAGAGAUCAUUCUCUCUGCCAUGUGAAGACACAGUAAGAAGCUGAUCAUCUGCAACCCAGAAAGAGAGCCCUUGCCAGGAACCAAAUUGGUUAGCAUCUUGACCUUAGACUCCCUAACUUCCAAAACUGAGAAACAUAAAUGUCUGUUGUUGAAGCCACCAGUCUAUAUUUUGUUGUAGCAGCCUGAGAAGACUAAUACAGACAAUAACUGCUCUACUCAGCCAAACACCACAGCAAACGCUUUGGCCCCCACCCAUGCCAACAAAGGCUGAGUGGGGAGCCUACGAUUCCACCCUUAUGAGGCUAUAAUGCGGCACCUCACCCACCAGGGUUGUGUCAGAGAAGGCCAAGUAGAGAGUCAAUAAUAAGUCCACUCUCCACCUGGCCCCCAUGGUAUCAGUGGAGACCAUGUGGGAAGCCUACACUUGCACCCCCAAAAGGCAGUAAUGAAGUGCUCCUCUUCAUUCCUGCUCAGUGGUAUCAGAGUAGGACUAGCGGAGAGUCUAGACUUUUACCAUCAUCCAAUGGUAAUAAGGCAACCCCCAUCUCAGUGUCAGUGGAGACCACCUGGGGAGCCAGAAUGCCAACAUCUGCCCAGCCAUAAUGAGAAGUGUAACUAAGAUGCCAACAGAGGCUGAGUGAACCUAGUCUUCUACCUGCACCUGUCAGUAAUGGGUUGGUGUCUUUCCUCCUCUGCUGGAGUAAUGUCAAAAAAAGCCAGCUAAAAUAAAGAGUUAACGUAAAAUUAAUAGCCUUAUAAAAAUGUCCAAGUUUCUUUCUUUCUUUUUUUUUUUUUGUGAUACGGAGUUUUGCUAUUGUUGCCCAGGCUGGCGCGAUCUCGGCUCACCGCAACCUCCGCCUCCUGAGUUCAAGUGAUUCUCCUACCCCAGCUUCCCGAGUAGCUGGGAUUACAGGCAUGCAUCACUGUGCCUGGCUAAUUUUUUGUAUUUUUAGUAGAGACGGGGUUUCUCCAUGGUGGUCAGGGUGGUCGCAAACUCCCGACCUCAGGUGAUACAUGCGCCUUGGCUUCCCAAAGUGCUGGGGUUACAGGUAUGCACCACCGUGCCUGGCCCAAAAAUGUCCAAGUUUCAACUGAAAAUCACUAAUCAUACCAAGAGCCAGGAAGUUCUCAAAUGAAAUGAAGAAAAGCCAAUCAAUAAAUGCCAAUACCAAGAUGACAGAGAUGUUAGAAUUAUAUGACAAAGAUGUCAAAGCAGCCAUUACAAAAAUGCUUCAAAAGCAAUUCUGAACACACUUGAAACAAAUUAGAAAGUAGACAGCCUCAGGAAACAAAUAUAAUAUAUAAAGAUGAACCAAAUGAAAAUUUUAAAACUUAAACACAAUAACUGAAAUUAAAAAGUCAGUGGUUGGACAUAAUACCAGGAUAGAGAGGGAACAGAGAAAAAAAUCAGUGGAAGGAAGAUAGAAUAAUAAAAAGUACUCAAUCUUAACAACAAAGUACCCAAAGGAAUAAUGGCUGAAAACGUCUCAAAUUUGGUAAGAGACAAGAAGAUGGGCAAACCUCAAAGAAGACAAAGCCCAAAUAAAUCUAUACCAAGACACAUUAUAAUGAAACUUCUGAAACCCAGAGACCAAGAGAAAAAUCUUAAAAGCAGCCAGGAAAAAAAAAAAAAAAACACCCAGGGAAAAAACCUAUUUGAAUGACAGUGGAUUUCUUAUCAGAAACCAUGGGGGCCAUAAGUAAGUGGUACAGUGUUUUUCAAGUGCUGAAAGAAAAGAACUGUCAAUCCAGAAUCCUAUAGUUAGUAAAAAUAUUCUUCAGAAAUGAAGAGGAAACCAAGAUAUUCUCAGAUGAAGAAAAACUAAAUUUUUCACCAGCAGAAUUACUCUAAAAGAAUGGCUAAAGGAAGUUCUCUAAACAAAUGAAAAAACAGAAGAGGGAAAUUUGGAGCAUCAGAAAAGGAAGUGAUAAAAGAAAACUUGGAGCAUCAGAAAGAAUACAAUAAGCAAAAAAGGGGGAGAGUAAACACAAUAGUUUUUCCUUCUAUUCUUCAGUUUUUGUUUUGUUUUGUUUUGUUUUGAGACGCUCUGUCACCCAGGCUGAAGUGCAAUGGCACAAUCUUGGCUCACUGCAACCUCUCCCUCCCGAAUUCAAGCAAUUCCCCCUGCCUCAGCCUCCCAAGUAGCUGGGAUUACAGGUGCCCACCACCAUGCCAGGCUAAUUUUUGUUUUUUUUAGUAGAGAUGGGGUUUCACCAUGUUGGUCAGGCUGGUCUCGAACUCCUGACCUCAAGUGAUCUGCCUGCCUCGGCCUCCCAAGGUGCUAGGAUUACAGGCGUGAGCCACCGUGCCCAACCUAUUCUUCAGUUUUUUAAAAAUAUAUUUAAUAGUUGAAGUAAAAAUGACAUGUUUUAUAUGGUUCUAAAAGUAUGCAGAGGAAAUAUUAAGACAAUUGUAUUAUAAAUAGUGGAGGGCAACAGGAUUUAAAGGGAAACACAAUUUCUAUAUUUCAUUUAAACUGGCAAAAUAAUGACACUAGUAGACUAUAAUGGGUUAUGUAUAUAUAAUGUAAUACCUACAGCACUACCUAAAAAGCUAUACAAAGCUUUUCAAAAGUUAUCCAAAAUGCUGUAGAUAAAAUGAAAUUUUAACAGAAGUAUGAGUAACCCACAGGAAAGCAGAAGAAAGAAAACAGAGAAAUGAAAAAUAGAACAAACAGAAAGGAAAAAAUAAAAUCAGAGAUUUAAGGCCUAACACAUCAAUAAUUACAUUAAAUGUAAGUGGUAGAAGCAGGUCAACUUUAAAAGAGAGAGAUUGGCAGAGUGGAUUUUAAAACACAACCCAACUGUAUACUGUCUAUGAGAAACUCACUUCAAAUAUAAUGAUAUAGGAAGGUUAAAAGCAAAAGGAUAGAAAAAUAUGUCAUGCAAACAUUAAUCAAAAGAAAGCAAGGGUGGCUGUAUUAAUAUCAGAUAAAGCAGACUUCAGAGCAAAGAAAAUUUCCAGAGACAGAGAGAGCCAUUAUAUAAUGAUAAAAGGGUCAAUCCACCAAAAAGACAUAGCAAUCUUAAAUGUGUAUGCACCAAACAACAGAGCUGCAAAUCACAUGAAGUAAAACUGAUAGAACUGAAAGGAGAUAUACACAUAUCCAGUUAAAACUGGAGAAAGAUAACAGGAAAAUCUUCAAACUAAAGAACACACAUCUAAAUAACAAAGGAGUCAAAAAAGAGAUCUCAAGGGAAAUUAAAAAAUACAUUGAACUGGGUGAAAAUAAACAUACCAUGUGUCCAAAUUUGUGGAACGCAGCCAAAGUAAUACCGAGAAGGAAAUAUAUAGCACUAAAUGCAUAUGUUAGAAAAGAGGAAAAGUCCAAAAUCAAUCUAUGAUCCCCCUGUAAGAACGUAGUAAAAGAUGAGCAAAAUAAAUCCAAAGUGAGAAGAAAAUAAUAAUGAACAAAAAUCAAUGACAUUGAACACACACACAAAUGGAAAAAUCAAUUAACCAAAGAUCUGAUUUUUUGAAAAGAUCAAUAAAAUUGACAAACCUCUAGCAAGACUGACAAAGUAGGAAAGAAAGACACAAAUUGUCAAUAUCAGGAAGGAAAUAGGUGAAAUCACUAUAGACACUGCAGACAUCAAAAGGAUAAUAAGGGAAUACUACGAACAACUCUAAAUAUUAUAAAUAUGACAAUCUAGAUGAAAUGGACCAAUUCCUGGAAAAACACAAAGUACCACAACUCUUCAAUAGGAAAUAGAUAAUUUGAGUAACCCUACAACUAAAAAGAAAUUGAACUUAUAAUUUUAAAACUCCCUAAAAGGAAAUCUCCAGGCCCAAGUUGUUUCACUGGAGAUUUCUACCAAACACUUAAAGAAUUACUAAACCAAUUCUUGCCUGGGUGCAGUGGCUCACGCCUGUACUCCCAGCACUUUGAGAGGCUGAGGCAGGCGGAUCACUUGAGCCCAGGAGUUCGAGAACAGCCUGCGCAACAUGGCAAAACCACAUCUCUACAAAAUAUACAUAUAUAAAAUUAGCCGGGCAUGGUGGCAUGAGCCUGUGGUCCCAGCUACUCAGGAGGCUGAAGCAGAAGAAUCACCUGAACCGGGGAGGCAAUGGUUGCAGUGAGCUAAGGUCACACCACUGCACUCCAACCUGGGUAACAGAGCAAGACCCUGUCUCAUAAUUAAACCAAUUCUACAUUCUCUCUUUCAGAAAAUACAAGAGGAGCGAGCACUUCCCAAUAUUGGCAAUAUUUUAUAAUGCCGAUAUUACCUUAAUACCAAAACCAGACAAAGACAACACAGAAAAGAAAACUACAGACCAAAAUCAUUAGUGAAUAUAGAUACAAAAUUCCUUAAUAAAAUAUUAGCAAGUAGAAUUCAGCUAUAUUGUAAAAAAUGUACACACUAAGACUAAGCAGAGUUUUUUUCAGGGAUGCAAGCCUGGUUCAUCAUUCAAAAAUCAGUCAGUGACCUCCACUAUAUUAACAGGCUAAAGAAGAAAGAUCACAUAAUAAUAUCAAUAGAUUCAGAAAAAGCAUUUAACAAAAUUCAACAGUUAUUCAUGAUAAAAACUCCCAGAAAAACAGGAUUAGAAAGAGACCACCUUACUUGAUAAAGAGCAUCUAUAUGAAAAAAUAGAACAAACAGAAAACAAAAAAUAAAAUCACAGAUUUAAGACCUACAGAUUUAAGACCUACAGCUAACAUUUUACUUAAUCAUGAAAGACUGAAGCUUUCCCCCUAAAGUUGGGAACACGGAAAGGACGCUGCUUUUAUCACUUUUAUUGAACAUAGUGCUGGAAGUCCUAGCCAGUGCAAUAAGGUAAGAAAAGAAAGUAAAUGGCAUACAGUUUGGGAAGAAAGAAAUAAAACUAUCCCCAUUUGCAGAUGAUGUAAUUGACCACAUCGAAAAUCCAGAAGAAUCUGCCAAAAAAAAAAAAAAAAACACCUCAUGGAACCAAUAAGUGAGAUCAACAAGGUUGCAUGACAUGAGAUGAACAUAUGAAAAAAAUUAUAUUUCUACAAACUAGCAAUGAACACGUGGACAUCUAAAUUAAAAAUGUAAUAUUAACAAUCGCUCAAAAAUAUGAAAUAGGUAUAAAUCUAACAAGACAAGUACAGGACAUUUAUGCUGUAAAUUAUGUAAUGUGAUGAAAAAUAACAAGAUCUAAAUAAAGGGAAUAAUAGUCCGUGUUGGUGGAUUGGAGACUCAACAUAGUAAAGAUAUCAGUUCUCCCCAAAUAGAUAUAGUGGUUUAAUGUAAUUCCCAUUAAAAACUCAGCAAGAUCUUUUGGUAGCUGUAGACAAGAUUAUUCUGGAAUUUAUAUGGAAAGUCCAAACAAAAAGCUAAGGGGCAAAACCCGGGCUGGGAUAGGGCAUGAGGCAGUGCGUUGGGACAUCCCUUGCAUCAGGCUCAACGGUGUCUGUCACUGUGUGGCUGGCUGGGAUGCUUGGGGUGGGUCAGGGGCAGGUGUAGCCUCUUUGCCUCAUUGUCCCCUAGCACCACAGGCUGCCAGCACCAUGAAGUUAUGGACUUUGGCACACGUCUUUGACCACCUGUGGGAAAUUGUUACAACAGUUGCAAUGCAGAAAUAUCCAAACUCUAUGAGCCUGAGUGUGGUUGGAGUUGAUGUGUUGGACAGACAUAUAGAUCCCUCUGGUUCCCUUCUCAGCACAGAGAGGGGGCUGCUUCCAUUGUGAAGUCUCUAAUUGGUGCAGCAAGAACCAAAACAUAUGUGCAAGAACAUUCUGUAGUUGAUCAUGUAGAGAAAACAAUGGAACUUAAAUCUACUAACAUUUCAUUUACAAAUAAGGUUUCAGUAGAUGAGAGACUUAUAGAAAAGCCACAUCCUCGGGACAGAAAAAAAACUAUUUUGACUCAAGAAGCCAUAAUCACUGUGAAAGGAGUCAGCCUCAGCAGUUACCUUGAAGGACUGAUGGCAAGGCUGAGAAGCAAUGGAAUGGGUAAUACACAAAUUAAAUGCUGAGAUUGAAGAACUGUUGGCCUCUGCAAGAGGAAGCAUAGGGACUCCGAUGGCAGCAGCAGAGCAUUUGCAGAGAAAUAAUCAUGAAAGUUGUUAGACAACGUCAGUUACCCCAGGUCUCUCCAAGCUAACUAUAUAUUUAUUUGUUAUUUUAAAAAUAGAACUAUCUUUUAGGUAGAAUUUUUUUAAAAUAUGCUGAUGUAAGGCUAUGUGACUUUUGAUCAAAACAAAGAGAUGCAGGGCUUCUAAAUAAAAGUGAUCAUUAGAAAUUUUUAAAAAGAAAAGCUAAAACAAUUUUGAAUAAGAAGAGUAAUGGGGGAGUAAUCAGUCUACCCAAUUUCAAGGCUUACUCUGAAGCUACAGUAAUCAAGACUGUGUAGUGCUGGCGAAGAGAGAGACACAUUAGACACAUAUAUUAAUGUAAUAGAUUAAAGAAUCUAGAAAUAGACCCCUACAGAUAUGUCCAGUGGAUUUUUGACCAAGAUGUAAGAACAGUUCAAUACAGGAAAGAUAGACUUUUCAACAAAUGGUGUUGGAGCAACUGGAUAUUCAUAGGAGAAAAAAAAAAAAGGAACUUGGCCUAACUCACACACCUUAUACAAAAAUUAACUCAAAAGAUUGUGAACUUAAAUGGGAAAUGUAAAACUAUAAGAUUGUUUAGAAAAAAUAGGAGAAAAUAUUUGGAAUCUAAGCUUAUGCAAAGAGAUUUUAGAUUUGACCCACAAACGGGAUCCAGAAGAGGAAAAAUUGAUAUACUUGAUGUCAUCAAAAUAAAAAAAUUUGCUCUGAAAAGACCUCAUUAAGAGGAUAAAAGCUCCCUAUUCAAUAAAUGGUGCUGGGAUAACUGGCUAGCCAUAGGCAGAAGAUUGAAGCUGAACCCCUUCUUUAUACCAUGUACAAAAAUCAAAGUCUUUAAUCCAACUUUAAGAUGAAUUAAAGACUUAAAUGUAAAACCCAAAAUUAUAAAAACCCUGGAAGACUACCUAGGCAAUACCAUCCUGGACAUAGGAACUGGCAAAGAUUUCAUGACAAAGACAUCAAAAGCAAUCACAACAAACGCAGAACUUGACAAAUAGGAUCUAAUUAAACUUAACAGCUUCUGCACAGCAAAAGAAACUAUCAACAGAGUUAACAGACAACCUACAGAAUGGGAUAAGAUAUUUGCAAUCCAUGCAUCUGACAAAGGUCCAAUAUCCAGCAUCUAUAAGGAAUUUAAACAAAUUUACAAGAAUAAAACAACCUCAUUAAAAAGUGGGCAAAGGAUAUGAACAGACAAUGUUCAAAAGAAGACAUACCUGCAGCCAACAAGCAUAUGAAAAAAGCUCAAUAUCGCUGAUCGUUAGAGAAAUGCAAAUCAAAACCAAAAUGAGAUACCAUCUUACACCAGUCAGAAUGGCUAUUAUUAAAAAGUCAAAAAGUAACAGAUGCUGGUGAGGUUGGAAAGAAAAGGGAACACUUAUACACUGUUGGUGAGAGUGUUCAACCAUUGUGUAAAGCAGUAUGGCAAUUCCUUAAAGAGCUAAAAGCAGAACUACCAUUCAACUCAACAAUCCCAUUACUGGGCAUAUAUCCAGAGAAAUAUAAAUCAUUCUACCAUAAAGACACAUGUGAGGCCAGGCGCGGUGGCUUACACCUGUGAUCCUAGCACUUUGGGAGGCCGAGGCGGGCAGAUCACGAGGUCAAGAGAUCGAGACCAUCCUGGCUAACACGGUGAAACCCCAUCUCUACUAAAAAUACAAAAAAUUAGCCGGGCGUGGUGGUGGGCGCCUGUAGUCCCAGCUACUCGGGGCAGAAGAAUGGCGUGAACCCGGGAGGCAGAGGUUGCAGUGAGCCGAGAUCGCACCACUGUGCUCCAGCCUGGGCCACAGAGUGAGACUCCGUCUCAAAAAAAAAGAAAAAAAAAAAAGACACAUGCGUAUAUGUUCAUUGCGGCACUAUUCAAAAUAGCAAAUACAUGGAAUCAACCUAAAUGCCCAUCAAUGACAGAUUGGAUACAGCAAAUGUGAUACAUAUACACCAUGGAAUACUAUACCACCAUAAAAAAGAACGAAAUCAUGUCUUUUGCGGGAACGUGGAUGGGGCUGGGUGCUAUUAUCCUCAGCAAACUAAUGCAGGAACGGAAAACCAAAUAUCGCAUGUUCUCGCGUAUAAGUUGGGGAGCUAAAUGAUGAAAACUUAUGAACACAAAGAUGGGAACAACAGAUACUGGGGCCUACUUGAUGGUGAAGGGUGGAGGGUGGGAGGAGGGGGGAGGAGCAGAAAAAUCACUAUGGGUACUAGGCUUAAUACCUGGGUGACAAAAUAAUCAGUACAACAAGCCUCUGUGACAUAAGUUUACCUAUAUAACCAACCUGCACGUGUACCCCCAAACCUAACAUAAAAGUUUUUUUUAAAGAGGAUAAAAAGACAAGUUAUGUGCAAAUUUCUGUAGAGAAAAUAUUUGUAAGCUACAUAUCUGACAAAGGACUAGUACUGGAAUAUAUAAAGAACUCUCAAAACUCAACAGUCAAAAAAGCAAAAAUCCAAUUAGAAGGUAGAGAAAAGACAUGAAGAAGAUAAUACAGAUGGCAAAUAAACACAUGAAAAGAUGUUUAAUAUCAUUAGCCAUUAGGGAAAUGCAAAUUAAGGCCACAAUGAGAUACCACUACAUGCCCAUCAGAGUAGCUAAAAUGCAAAACAGUGAAAACACCAGAUGCUAGCAAGGACACUGGAUCACUCAUACAUUGCUGGUGGAAAUGUAAAAUGGUACAGCCACUCUGGAAAACAGUUUGCCAAUUUCUUUAAAAAUUAAACAUGCAGGCUGGGCACGGUGGCUCACGCUUGUAAUCCCAGCACUUUGGGAGGCUGAGGCAGGUGGAUCACCUGAGAGGUCAGGAGUUCAAGACCAGCCUGGCCAACAUGGUAAAACCCCGUCUCUACUAAAAAUACAAAAAAAAUUAGCCGGGUGUGGUGGCAGAUGCCUGUAAUCCCGGCUACUCGGGAGGCUGAGGCAGGAGAAUCCCUUGAACCCAGGAGGAGAGGUUGCAGUGAGCUGAGAUUGCGCCACUGCACUCCAGCCUGGGCAACAAGGCGAGACUCCAUCUCAAAUUAAAAAAAAAAAAAGAAAAAAAAUUAAACAUGCAGCCAAGCACAGUGGCUCACGCCUGUAAUCCCAGCAGCUUGGGAGGCUGAGGUUGGUGGAUCACUUGAGGUCAGGAGUUCAAGACCAGCCUGGCCAACACAGUGAAACCCCAUCGCUACUAAAAAUACAAAAAUUAGCCGGGUAUGGUGGUACAUGCCUGUAAUCCCAGCUACCCCAGAGGCUGAGGCAGGAGAAUCGCUUGAACCGGGAAGGUGGAGUUUGCAGUGAGCUAAGAUUGCGCCACUGCACUCCAGCCUGGGCGACAGGGGGAGACUCCAUCUCCAAAAAAAAAAAAAAAAAAAAAAAAAAAAAAAUUAAACAUGCAACUACCAUACAAUCCAGCAAUCACACUCUUGGACAUUUAUUUCCCCAAAAUGAAGACUAUAUUCACACAAAAACAUGUACAUGAAUACUAACCCUACUUGUAUUCAUUAUAGUAAAAACUAGACACCCAGAUGUCCUUCAGUAGGUGAACAGUGAAACAAACGAUGGUCCAUCUGGAAUACUUCUGAGCAAUAAAAAGGAACAAACGAUUGAUAAACACAACCACCCCUGGAUGACUCUUGAGAGAAUUAUGCUGAGUGAAUAAUAAAGUCAAUUGCAGAAGUCUAUAUACUGUAUAGUUUUAUUUACAUGACAUUCCUGAAAUGACAAAAUUAUAGAAAUAGACUCAUGGUUGCCAGGGGUUAAGGAGUGGGGAAUGGGAGGGAAGUAGACACGGUCAUAAGAGGGUAACAUGGGGGAUCCUUACGGUGAUAGAAAUGUAUCCUUUGAGUCCAGAUUUCAGCUGGUCUGCAGCAAGGACUCUCCCAGCGGUAGGGAGGCUCACUCAAAAAGUCAUGGCCCAGGGCCGGGUGUGGUGGCGCACACCUGUAAUCCCAGCACUUAGGGAGGCCAAGGCAGGCAGAUCACAAGGUCAGAAGUUUGAGACCAGCCUGGCCAACAUGGUGAAACCUCGUCUCUACUAAAAAUACAAAAAAAUUAGCUGGGCGUGGUGGCGGGUGCCUGUAGUCCCAGCUACUGGGGAGGCUGAGGCAGGAGAAUGGCGUGAACCUGGGAGGCGGAGCUUGCAGUGAGCCGAGAUCGCGCCACUGCACUCCAGCCUGGGCAACAGAGGAGACUCAGCCUCAAAAAAAAAAAAAAAAAAAAAGGCAUGGACCUAACACCGUAGAUGAUGGGGGCGGCUGUUAUACAGGCUUCAUCUGAGUGUUCUGUGGCUCCCACAUCCAGCCUGGUAUGAAAUUUUGGCAACGUUAACAAAACAACAACAAACAAUCUAUGUCUUAGAGAUACUGAAGAAUAUACAGGUGGGACAGCUGAUGAGAAAUGCUGGAUUCCAUGCUAAGGAGUUUGGUUUGUAUUUUGCAGGCAAAGGGCAUCUAUUGAAGGAUUCUAAGUAGAAAUAGUUACAAGAUCAGAUUUGUAAUUUUGAAAGGUCAUUGGGUUUUGUCCCAGUGGCGUCCUUAAUAGCAAAAGAAAGUCCUGAAUCGCGGGUCGUGCUCUGUUGUCACUUCUCCCUUUAAUCUGAAAUGCUUCCUCAGUGUUUUCGUCGUCCUUCAUGAACUUGACAUUUUUAAGGGUCUGGCUGGUUAUUUUGAAGAAUGUUCCUCGAUUUGGGUUGGUCUGAGGUUUCUUCACGAUCAGAUUCCGCUUAUGCCUUCUGACACAAAUACCGAGAAAUAAUGCGGUGUCCUUCCCCACACAUCAUAUCGGAUGACAGCUUCCAUUCAUUGUGGCAUUUAGAUCACUCAGUUAAGUUGGUGACUUGUCAAAUACCUUUAUUGCAAAGUAAUUAUUUUUCUCUUUGCAAUUAUAAAUUCAUUAUCUUCCUUGUGGAGCGAUAUUUUGAGACAAUUGUAAAUAUCCCGUUACUCCUCAAAUUUUUACCCUCUAGUUUUAGGAAGACUUUAUGAUUCUUGCCUGAAUCAUUUAAUACUAUCAUGGUUGCCAAGUUGGCAAUUUUCUACAUCUGUCAUUCCUUCUAUAUUUAUCAGCUGGCUUUCUUCUGUAAAGCAGAACUUUCCCUUCUCCCCCACUUAUUUACUUAAAUAUGCACAGAGAGAGAGAGAGUGGCGGCGGGGGGACAUGUAUUCUCAUUUUAUUCAAUGAAUCCCUUGACUUUCCAUCAUUCUGCAUCGUGUUAUUAUGUUUUAGGUGUUUCUCUUACAAACAACAUAUAGAUAAAUUUUUUCCAGAUUGACUUUUUUUCUUUUUCUUUUUUUUUUUUUUUUUAGACAGGGUCUUACUCUGUCACCCAGGCUGGAGUGCAGUGGCGUGAUUUCGGCUCAUUGCAACCUCCGCCUCCUGACCUCAAGUGAUCCUCCCAUCUCGGCCUCCCAAAGUGCUGGGAUUACAGGUGUGAGCCACUGCACCCAGCCUCAGAUUGACUUUCUAAUCUUAAAACAGUAAGUUUUUCAUGUAUAUGUGUUGUGAAAAUAAUAUAUAUGGAUUUUUUAUGCAAAAAAGUAGAUUUACAUAUGUUCAAGUAGAAAAAUAUCUAAAAUGUGAUCUUAAGGGGAAAAGUUGCAGGAAAGUGUGUGUAAAAUAAGCCCAUCCAUGAGGGGAAAAGGAUAUGUGUACCUCUACUUUCAUAGUCAUAAAAAUUUCUGGAAGGUCACACAAGAAGUGGGUUAACAUUGGUUACUCUAAGAAGGUGGCUGGGGGGUAGAGGUCUAUUUCUAGCUUUGUAUAUUACUGGAACUUUAACAUCUGUGAACAGGUUUUACUUAGACAAUUCAAACGCCUGAUGUUUGCCUGCUCACAGCCUUUGACAGAUACAGACACUUGCACGGCCAUGUGGUACCCGAGGCUGUUAGAGUUAAUUCCAGGCUGGAUGCCACAUAAGCAGGUGAGAUGCGGGGCCAGGGGAGGCCCCUGACAGAGGAGGACAUCUGAGUGAAGUUCCAAAGUGAGGUGUCUCAGCUUCGUGGAAAGCAUGUAAGCACUGAUGUUAGGCAAGCCCAAAUUUGAGGCUAGCUACUCACUCCCUCUGUGAACUUGGGCAAACUUAUGAGCUUCUGCAAGUCCUACGGGAUUGCUGGGAGGAUUAGAACUGAUCAUAUCUGUGGCUGG
This 39252-nucleotide long non-coding RNA is filed under the name Homo sapiens (human). Its description in RNAcentral is "non-protein coding lnc-MRC2-3:4". Lineage: Eukaryota; Metazoa; Chordata; Mammalia; Primates; Hominidae. The record is from RNAcentral.